CUACGUGCCAGCAGCCGCGGUAAUACGGAAGGUCCUGGCGUUAUCCGGAUUUAUUGGGUUUAAAGGGAGCGCAGGCUGCACUUUAAGCGUGUUGUGAAAUGUACCGGCUCAACCGGUAACGUGCAGCGCGAACUGGGGUGCUUGAGUACGAAGAGGGAAGGCGGAACUCGUGGUGUAGCGGUGAAAUGCUUAGAUAUCACGAGGAACUCCGAUCGCGAAGGCAGCUUUCCGUUUCGGUACUGACGCUGAGGCUCGAAAGUGCGGGUAUCGAACAGGAUUAGAUACCCUGGUAGUCCGCACGGUAAACGAUGGAUGCUCGCUGUUGGAUAUUUUUAUUCAGUGGCUAAGUGAAAACGUUAAGCAUCCCACCUGGGGAGUACGCCGGCAACGGUGAAACUCAAAGGAAUUGACGGGGGCCCGCACAAGCGGAGGAACAUGUGGUUUAAUUCGACGCAACGCGAAGAACCUUACCAGGUCUUGACAU
RNAcentral lists this ribosomal RNA (484 nucleotides) under uncultured bacterium. RNAcentral describes it as "bacterial SSU rRNA". It matches the Rfam family "Bacterial small subunit ribosomal RNA", at positions 501 to 987 of the family's 1533-position model. The record is from RNAcentral.